CUCCGCAAUGCUUUCCAGCCAACUUUUAUUUUGGAAAAUACUCCUGAGAUUAAUAACAUUUUGAUCACUGCAAAAUCGUUGACCACUUAUUUCAAACAACGUGGCAACAUAAAAUAUCUGAGCAAGACGUUACAACAAAAUAUUGAUAUAAGAUGGAAAACAAAACAUAAGAUGCUACAAAGCAUUUAUAUAAUGUAUGAUGAGAUUUUAUCUUACAACCUCGUGAUAUGAGUGAAAAAAUGGGAUCUAUGGGAAAGGAAGGUUUAAAAACGCUGAUAGAUUAUUUGGAGCCAUAUAAAGAUGCAACUAUUGUUCUUGAGAGCGACUGCAGGCCUACACUACAGAAUGUUCUUAUAUGGUAUAAUCUUCUUCUACAUGAGCAUAAUCAAAUAAAUAUGGAUAUAAUGGGAAAAACAAAUUGUGAAAAAGAAAUAGAUUUAAUAAAGAAAAGUGCUAAAAUAUUAUAAUUGAAAAAUUUCCAUAUGCUUCAUAAAAUUUGAACAUUUUUAAUACCAAAGUUCCGACAAAGGAGGAUGUUUACGUCGGAAGAAAUUAAUGAAGUAAAAAAAACAUAUUGAAAACUGGAUUUGAUUUGCAUCGAAGAAUAUAGCAUCGACGUGGAUGAAUAAUCUGAUUUUACCCCUUUCCCCAAAUGCAAAGAGAAUCAAAUUAAAGGAUAUUAAUAAAUUAUAAAAUUGCUUAGCUCUAUUAAAUGCAAUGUUUGAUAUAAAUAUCACCCGCUUCAAAAUUUAACCCCAACAUAUGGGAGGAUGAGGUUGUUACAGGGGAGACUAUUGUACCUAAUGACAUAACAAAAUAUUUAAAUCUUAAAAUCUCAAUUGAGGAAGAGGAUAUACUUCAAACGGAUAUCCUACUUUGGUGGAAACGACUAGAAAGAGAUUUGUCAAAGCUAUUAAGAUUAGCAAGAAAAAUAUUGGCAAUUCCUGCAACUAGUGCUUCUUCCGAACGUGGAUUUAUCAUUGCUGUAAGAUUUUUAGAACAAAG
This is a long non-coding RNA of Gordionus sp. m RMFG-2023, 1005 nucleotides long. RefSeq lists it as uncharacterized. Lineage: Eukaryota; Metazoa; Nematomorpha; Gordioida; Chordodea; Parachordodidae. The transcript is spliced from 3 exons. The record is from RefSeq and is a predicted model, not a curated record.